UCCUACGGGAGGCAGCAGUGGGGAAUAUUGCACAAUGGGCGCAAGCCUGAUGCAGCAACGCCGCGUGCGGGAUGACGGCCUUCGGGUUGUAAACCGCUUUCACCAGGGGCGAAGGUAUCCCUUUUCGGGGGUGUUGACGGUACCUGGAGA
Molecule: ribosomal RNA, 150 nt
Filed under: uncultured Actinomycetales bacterium
Lineage: Bacteria; Bacillati; Actinomycetota; Actinomycetes; Actinomycetales
Description: partial 16S ribosomal RNA
Rfam family: Bacterial small subunit ribosomal RNA
Source: RNAcentral